This 474-nucleotide ribosomal RNA is filed under the name uncultured bacterium. Its description in RNAcentral is "partial 16S ribosomal RNA". It matches the Rfam family "Bacterial small subunit ribosomal RNA", at positions 34 to 540 of the family's 1533-position model. The record is from RNAcentral.
AGCGAACGCUGGCGGCAGGCCUAACACAUGCAAGUCGAACGAACCUUUCGGGGUUAGUGGCGGACGGGUGAGUAACACGUGGGAACGUGCCUUUAGGUUCGGAAUAACUCAGGGAAACUUGUGCUAAUACCGAAUGUGCCCUUCGGGGGAAAGAUUAAUCGCCUUUAGAGCGGCCCGCGUCGGAUUAGCUAGUUGGUUGAGGUAAUGGCUCACCAAGGCGACGAUCAGUAGCUGGUCUGAGAGGAUGAUCAGCCACAUUGGGACUGAGACACGGCCCAAAACGAGGAGGGAGGGAGCGGGGGUGAAGCCGACGCAGCGGGCGAAAGACUGACGCAGGCAUGCGGCGUGAAUGAUGAAGUUCUUGUUAUGGUACAAGUAGGCGAGCGAGGCGACUAAGGACGAUACCGGGAGAAGCGGCCCGGGACACUGUCGCGCCAGCAGCGGCGGUCAGGGUGGAAGGGCAGACGCACGCAC